GACGAACGCUGGCGGCGUGCUUAACACAUGCAAGUCGAACGGAGUUACGUAUGAAGUAUUUCGGUACGGACUAUGUAACUUAGUGGCGAACGGGUGAGUAACACGUGGGCAACCUGCCCUUAACCGGGGGAUAACAUUGUGAAAACAGUGCUAAUACCGCAUAACAGAGUAUCGGGCAUCCGAUAUUUUAAAAGGAGCAAUCCGGUUUAGGAUGGGCCCGCGUCCAAUUAGCUAGUUGGUGAGGUAACGGCUCGCCAAGGCUACGAUUGGUAGCCGAACUGAGAGGUUGAUCGGCCACAUUGGGACUGAGACACGGCCCAGACUCCUACGGGAGGCAGCAGUGGGGAAUAUUGGGCAAUGGGCGAAAGCCUGACCCAGCGACGCCGCGUGAAGGAUGAAGGUCUUCGGAUUGUAAACUUCUUUGAUCAGGGAAGAAAGAAAUGACGGUACCUGAAGAACAAGCCACGGCUAACUACGUG
This 479-nucleotide ribosomal RNA is filed under the name uncultured bacterium. Its description in RNAcentral is "bacterial SSU rRNA". It matches the Rfam family "Bacterial small subunit ribosomal RNA", at positions 28 to 507 of the family's 1533-position model. The record is from RNAcentral.